GACGAACGCUGGCGGCGCGCUUAACACAUGCAAGUCGAACGGAAAGGCCCUGCUUUUGUGGGGUGCUCGAGUGGCGAACGGGUGAGUAACACGUGAGUAACCUGCCCUUGACUUUGGGAUAACUUCAGGAAACUGGGGCUAAUACCGGAUAGGAGCUCCUGCUGCAUGGUGGGGGUUGGAAAGUUUCGGCGGUUGGGGAUGGACUCGCGGCUUAUCAGCUUGUUGGUGGGGUAGUGGCUUACCGAGGCUUUGACGGGUAGCCGGCCUGAGAGGGUGACCGGCCACAUUGGGACUGAGAUACGGCCCAGACUCCUACGGGAGGCAGCAGUGGGGAAUAUUGCACAAUGGGCGGAAGCCUGAUGCAGCAACGCCGCGUGCGGGAUGACGGCCUUCGGGUUGUAAACCGCUUUCGCCUGUGACGAAGCGUGAGUGACGGUAAUGGGUAAAGAAGCACCGGCUAACUACGUG
Molecule: ribosomal RNA, 468 nt
Filed under: uncultured bacterium
Lineage: Bacteria
Description: partial 16S ribosomal RNA
Rfam family: Bacterial small subunit ribosomal RNA
Source: RNAcentral